UACUGCUAAAAUGAAACUCCCGUGUCUGUCC
RNAcentral lists this non-coding RNA (31 nucleotides) under Homo sapiens (human). Lineage: Eukaryota; Metazoa; Chordata; Mammalia; Primates; Hominidae. The record is from RNAcentral.